GUUGUAUUUUGUUAUGUCUGUUGAAAAGUGUGAGUAUUGGUACUUUGAGAUUUCCAAGCUAAAUAGUAUAUUGAAGAUACAAUCCUAACCAUGUUUCCAAGAUCAAUACUACAUAGAUGAGCAUUUUAAUUAAGUUAAAGUCAUUGUUAAACAUACAUUUAAGCUGCUAGUUACAAAAUUUGUUUUAUUUUUAAUGUGUGCAUAUGUCAACAAAAUAUUAUAUUUAUUGAAAAUCUAUUUUAUUUCUUUUUUAUAUACAUUUUGGCAAGAAAACAUCAAAUUUUGCAUGCUUAUCAAAAUGACACAAUUCAACACACAGUAUGUUGAUAUCAUUGUAAUCAGAGGAAAAAUGUAAAUAAUUCUCACUCAUUUUCAUUUUCGGUUACUGUGAAUGGUUUAUUAAUGUUUUAAGGAUGUAAGUUGAAUAAAAAAAAACAAAUUGAAGUCUAUACAAAUCAUUGUAGAGUUCAGAAUAUAUUAUUCUACACAUAAAUUAUAUCAAACAUCACAAGUUAUAUUUUAUUUGAAUCUAUUGCUUUUAAAAUGCAAUAAAGUAUUUUUAAUAUACUUUACAGGGGUGUGGAGCAGAAAUUUAAAAUAAUUAAUUGAUAUGUGAGUGGGGGGUAUAACAGUUGACAGACAGAUUUUUAAAAUUGGUGUUAAUUACAACCCAAACAUUGAUGAAAACUUCACUUUAUUCAGAAAAGACCAAUCAGUUCACAAUUACUUUUUUUUUUUAUAAAAAAGAUAAAUAUUCAAGGAAAACAUACUAAAAAAUA
This is a non-coding RNA of Biomphalaria pfeifferi, 779 nucleotides long. The record is from the annotation of a GenBank genome assembly. NCBI's taxonomy places the organism in Eukaryota, Metazoa, Mollusca, Gastropoda, Planorbidae.